CUCAUGCAGCUCGCUUGAAAUGUACUCAUCGUUCAGCAGUAUCCCCCAGCCCUCUCAUCUCAAUCCAUGGAGCUCCUUAGACCCCCAAAUUAAAGGUGAGCAAGAGGGAACAGGUGGGGUUUAUCAUGAGUAAUUAAUUCUUUUUUUUUUUCUUUCUCUUUUGAUUCAAAUCUGAAAUUUCGUAGCAUGAGGAAACGAAAGCAGCCAUCAUCAUCAGCCCCAGGUGGAACCUUCUACCUUUAAAUAAAUCUCAUGCCUUCGCGCUGCAUGUUACUGGAAUCAUACACGACUUCUCUGGUUUCUGCAGGAGAGAGACAAAGACUGCUGUGGCAGAGGAACUGAACACAAGAAGACCACAAUGGUACAGAUUUGGUACCCACCACCAAACACUGCC
RNAcentral lists this long non-coding RNA (394 nucleotides) under Musa acuminata (dwarf banana). RNAcentral describes it as "long non-coding RNA (MACU_LNC003648)". Lineage: Eukaryota; Viridiplantae; Streptophyta; Magnoliopsida; Zingiberales; Musaceae. The record is from RNAcentral.